CACAGACUCCUACGGGAGGCAGCAGUGGGGAAUAUUGGGCAAUGGGCGCAAGCCUGACCCAGCAACGCCGCGUGAAGGAAGAAGGCUUUCGGGUUGUAAACUUCUUUUAUUCGGGACGAAGAAAGUGACGGUACCGAAUGAAUAAGCCACGGCUAACUACGUGCCAGCAGCCGCGGUAAUACGUAGGUGGCAAGCGUUAUCCGGAUUUAGUGGGUGUAAAGGGCGUGUAGGCGGGAAUGCAAGUCAGAUGUGAAAACGCAGGGCUCAACCCUGAGCCUGCAUUUGAAACUGUGUUUCUUGAGUGCUGGAGAGGCAAUCGGAAUUCCGUGUGUAGCGGGGAAAUGCGUAGAUAUACGGAGGAACACCAGUGGCGAAGGCGGAUUGCUGGACAGUAACUGACGCUGAGGCGCGAAAGCGUGGGGAGCAAACAGGAUUAGA
RNAcentral lists this ribosomal RNA (438 nucleotides) under uncultured bacterium. RNAcentral describes it as "bacterial SSU rRNA". It matches the Rfam family "Bacterial small subunit ribosomal RNA", at positions 330 to 782 of the family's 1533-position model. The record is from RNAcentral.